UUGAUAAAUUUAAUUAUUCAGGCGUGUGUUUCAGUUGAAGGGAGCAAGUGGUCUAGAGAUUGGUGCAAGCUUAGAGCCCUAGCAGACAAAGAACAAAGCCAUCGCAGAAGGCUAAGAAGAUAUAUCCUUAUUUAGAAUCUGUCCAUUGGCUUUCAAUUCAAGGUUAAAUGGCAACCAAGUACACCAGCUAAUACUGUCCACAAAACUUGUCGACAAAUCGAACCAGACACUGAAUAAGUAGAUUCACAACAUUCAUUCAUCAACCAAUUUCAAGCUUCUUAUAUCCCCGCACCUUGAGGGACUUUCAAGCUGCUGUUCAUCAAGACAUAUAUCCCGCUGCUCCUAGGACAGCUUGGUAAUAUGGUUACUGAAGAUCAUUUGCAGGCAAUACAUCGAUCGGCUGAGAAGUGAGGUCACUCAAGUAGUUUGUUGAAUGGUGUAAACGGGUAUGGGUGCAAUUACAUUUGUAGUGAUUCUUUUGAUUCUUGCAAAUUUUGGAGUAUUUGCCAUUGCUCGUGGCCUUUACACUUCCUCUGAUCAUCACACUGUUUCUUUCUGCAAAACUUCUUGUGAUAACACAUUGGAUGACAAAAGAGGGAUUCCAACCGGAUCAAAUCCUUUGCAUAACAGGUAGAGAAACGGGAACAACUUAUGUUCAAUGAUUCACUUUUUUCUUUUCUUUUCUUUUUCAAGUUCUUCUUGAUGUUUUUCAUUUUGAAAUAUGAAUAGAUUCUGCCUACAAAGAAGAUGGUCUGUGGAAAUAAAAAUGGAAACUGAAAACUGGGAAGAUGAUGAAUUUUUUGUUGUUGUUUUAAAAUUAAAUCAAAUUAGUCUAGAAUUAUUUAAUUACUAUUUUUAUUUUACAUUUUGGUAAUUGUAUUUUUC
This 885-nucleotide long non-coding RNA is filed under the name Gossypium raimondii (Peruvian cotton). Its description in RNAcentral is "long non-coding RNA (GRAI_LNC005096)". The record is from RNAcentral. Lineage: Eukaryota; Viridiplantae; Streptophyta; Magnoliopsida; Malvales; Malvaceae.